CGGGUUGUAUCCUUUAUAGUGAAACUGUAAUUUAAAGAUCUCCCUGUUGAAGCACUUCCUGCUACCCAACCCACCCAGAGACUCCUGCCUCCUGGGGCCAGGGAGGCAAUCAGCCAGCCAGGAACCAGCUGCACCAGUGGGUCUCCCAUGAAGGAGGGGCCUCCCCGAAGCCUCAGUGCCAGUCAUGCCUGAGGGAGAGCACGUUUAUACACAAAGGACCUUCCUAUCUGGGAAACAGAACGCGAGGGUGGUGGAGCAGCCAGUCCAUCCUCCUCCCGGAAGCACCGCCGACAAAGGUGGAGAAACUGCAGAGGCCUCCUCUUGACUUUGGCCAGAUGGAAUCUGUGUUUCUGGAAGAGAUGAGAGAAAAAGAGCAGCCCUGAGCUCAACAGGUUGCAGACAGGGAAAUGGAGGCUCUGAAACGUUAAGUGAGGUUAACAGCUAAGUGAUGAGUCACAACCCAAAGGCAAGGCUUCCGUCGCCAGCUUCACGGAGGCCCUCCCUGGGCAGAGCGGCAAGGACACAGAGCGGAGCAGAGUUCUGGAGCCAGCUCCUGUUACCAAGUGUAGGCUCCCUACCCCCCACACGAGAGGGGCUGAAUAAAACUGGAACACCA
This 616-nucleotide long non-coding RNA is filed under the name Equus asinus (donkey). RNAcentral's name for it is "lncRNA (ENSEASG00005033944.1, ENSEASG00020026588.1)". The record is from RNAcentral. Lineage: Eukaryota; Metazoa; Chordata; Mammalia; Perissodactyla; Equidae.